UUCUAUUGUAUUAAAUAAUAGUAAAAUCUGCUCAAUGAUUUUAAAUAGCUGCAAUAUGUACUAAGGUAGCAUAAUCACUCGUUUUUUAAUUUAAAACUAGAACAAAGGAUUCAACAAUUUUUAAAAUUUCAUAUAAUAUAUAUAUAUUAAAUUUAUCUAAAAUGUAAAAAGACAUUUAUUCAAAAGAAAGACGACAAGACCCUAUCGAACUUAACUAAUGUUAAACUGGGGUAGUUAAUUAAUUAUAAUUUUAAUUUAAAUUUUUCAUAAAAAACCUACUAUUAAUAAAAUAAUAAGUUACCGUAGGGAUAACAGCGCAAUUUUUAUUUUAAGCUCUUAUUUAAAUAAAAGAUUACGACCUCGAUGUUGAAUAAUCACCUAUUUAUAUGUAACAAUAUUAUAAGGUAGUCUGUUCGACUAUUAAAAAAUUACA
RNAcentral lists this ribosomal RNA (433 nucleotides) under Orthobula sp. MR362. RNAcentral describes it as "partial 16S ribosomal RNA". Lineage: Eukaryota; Metazoa; Arthropoda; Arachnida; Araneae; Phrurolithidae. The record is from RNAcentral.